UACGAAGGGGCUAGCGUUGUUCGGAAUCACUGGGCGUAAAGGGCGCGUAGGCGGCUUUAUAAGUCGGGGUGAAAGCCUGUGGCUCAACCACAGAAUUGCCUUCGAUACUGUAUGGCUUGAGACCGGAAGAGGUAAGUGGAACUGCGAGUGUAGAGGUGAAAUUCGUAGAUAUUCGCAAGAACACCAGUGGCGAAGGCGGCUUACUGGUCCGGUUCUGACGCUGAGGCGCGAAAGCGUGGGAGCAACAGG
Molecule: ribosomal RNA, 249 nt
Filed under: uncultured bacterium
Lineage: Bacteria
Description: partial 16S ribosomal RNA
Rfam family: Bacterial small subunit ribosomal RNA
Source: RNAcentral